AUGACAAACAGGUUGAUUUAUGCAGAGAAAAUUAUACAACAACAACCACAUCACCUGCAUUCUACUGACCGUCUUCGUGGCUUCAAUCUCACACUUCUUAGGAAAGAUGACAGUUCAUUAUGGUUGAUUCAAACUAAAACAAAGCCAAAUGGAAAUCUCUCAAGACCUCAAAGAAAAUGUGUUGUUUCCUCCAGGGUACCAGACUGGAAAUGAGGAGAAAUGAUAGAUAUGAACGAGUAAGAAUGAGAAACACAGAUGGAAAAUAAAAACAUUACCUUGCUGCAUUUGCAUAGUUAUAAUUUAUAUGAGCCCCCUUUAAACAAUGAUCUCAUAUCAGAAUCAACAGAAUACAAUCUCCAUGAAGGCCAGGAUAUUUGUCUCUUUGUUUUGUGAAUAUUGUUUUUCACCAAUGAAUCUCCAUGCCUUGAACAGUGGCUGGCAAGAGAAAAUAACGCAUAAAUGUUUGUUGAAUGAUUAAAUUAAUAAGUUCUGGUGGUCAGUAAACAUUUCAAAAUGUCCUUGUGCUGUGCUUUCUGCAACAGAGCUUGGAAGGGACUCAUCAAGGUACUUGUAGUCAAUGAUCAUUGUAAUCACUAUGUCUUUUGUCUGAAAUGGUCCUACUACUAAUGCAUUGUUUUCUCUACUUCAUGGUUAUUUCCGAUAGAAAAGCCAUCACUUUUAACAGAUUGUAAUACAAACACGUCAUGGAUAUGCUUCUUGGCGAUUCUUUUAAUAUUAUAAUGGCCGAUUUCUCAUGCCUUCUCACCUUAAUUUAAACCAGGCUUCUCACUAAUGGCCUCACAUUCCCUCCUCACUCCGUUGUGGGCCUCUUCUCUAACUACCACCUCACUCUGAAACCAAAGGAAGAAUCAACGCCUUCCUGCUCUUUUUUUUUUUUUUUUUUUGCCUUCCUGCUCUUUAUGAUACCUCCAGGUCAUUAUUAUAUUGUGACUGCCCUGAAGAAUAGCCAAACAAUUGUUAUAUCAGAGCCAUCUGCCAGUUGUAGCUCUAAAAAUUAAUUAAGGUACAGCAUCUGUCAAAAAUAUAUUGGUUUAAACCUAUGGCAACAUAGCAGUCUGAAGCCAUUUAUGACAAUCUGUGUGGGAAGCAUCCUCCUCUGGCAGAUCCAAUGCCACACAACACUCUUGUCAUGUCAGGUAAGCAAGCAGGAAAGCACAGCAAUGGAUGCUUGCUUUUGAAAGCAAUACUUGGCUUUAAGGAGCCUCAAAAUUCAUGCAUUUUUCUUGAAUUAAAUUCCCCAUUAAUUACUUAUCUACAAAAAGCAAUUGUCAUCAGAAUUGAUAUAAGCAAGUGAGAAGAUGCUACCCCAUGUCCCUUCUGCAUGCAGACUUUUCCCUUUUUCUUUUUUCCAUGUGGCUAUCUAAAACAUUGGAAAUACCGAAAUUUUUAAAUAUUUUACAGAAAUUGUGUGUGUGUGUAUCCAUAUGAUGAAAAUAUCAUUGAAAUAAA
Molecule: long non-coding RNA, 1470 nt
Filed under: Canis lupus familiaris (dog)
Lineage: Eukaryota; Metazoa; Chordata; Mammalia; Carnivora; Canidae
Description: lncRNA (ENSCAFG00805003187.1, ENSCAFG00845007402.1)
Source: RNAcentral